UUGAGACUUUGUAAACCAAGUCCAACAGUGAUAUUUUUCUGCAAGACUCCUCUGAGCAUCUCUGAGAAGGGGAUGGCAGGAUUCACCCACCGCUUUUAACCAUAGCAUCCUGUGUUUUUCAGAUUACCUCCUGGGACUUUUCAAAAAUGCCCCAAUUAAAGGAAAGCUCCAAGGGUCUAGCACUUAUCAUCCCAGGACAACUGAGAAGAAGAAAGAGAAGGAAAGAAGAGAAAAGAAAAGAACAACAACCUUCAAAUAAUAGAAUAAAUGGAAAUAUGAAAGAAAUACUGACGUGCCUGGCCUAUCUUGUCACACAUGGUUUUGAAGGAAGCCAGUUCUGUUUGGGAAAUGACAACAAGAUCACCUCGGGCUCCCUCUGCUGCUGUCCAACCUCCCUGGCCCUGUGAGAAGAGUAUUCUCCCUUGGGAUCCUGGACGUCCCACCUUUGAGAGAGAUUUACAUACACGGUAACGAA
Molecule: long non-coding RNA, 475 nt
Organism: Eubalaena glacialis (North Atlantic right whale)
Lineage: Eukaryota; Metazoa; Chordata; Mammalia; Artiodactyla; Balaenidae
Exons: 3
Source: RefSeq, a predicted model, not a curated record